RNAcentral lists this long non-coding RNA (387 nucleotides) under Homo sapiens (human). RNAcentral's name for it is "HSALNT0330448". Lineage: Eukaryota; Metazoa; Chordata; Mammalia; Primates; Hominidae. The record is from RNAcentral.
AGAUCAUGCAGGACCCUGAAGAUAACAGAAAGGGCUCUUCAUUCUGUUAUUUUCAGUAAGAUGGAAGAGAAUUUGGGGGUUAAAGGUGAGGACUGGCAUGGCCUAAAGUGUGUUUUAAUAGGAUCACUGUGACUUCUGUGCUAAAAGCAGACUGCAAGGGACAGAAGCUGAAGCAGGAGAGGCUGGUUCCUGAUUUUUAUUCUAUGAGCUCAGGAUGAUGAACCUGAUCCUAAAAUCUGAGACACAUGUCUUAAAAUUGGGGCUAUCUCAGAAAAUAGAGCUGACACAUUGAAUUUGUGAACAGAGAAGGGGAGGAGGAGAUAGGUGGAGAAAACUGCUUCUUAGGAGUGAUUACAGCCACAGAGGGACUUGAAGAGACAUCCUUGG